RNAcentral lists this ribosomal RNA (392 nucleotides) under uncultured bacterium. RNAcentral's name for it is "partial 16S ribosomal RNA". It matches the Rfam family "Bacterial small subunit ribosomal RNA", at positions 523 to 918 of the family's 1533-position model. The record is from RNAcentral.
AUACGUAUGGGGCGAGCGUUAUCCGGAAUUAUUGGGCGUAAAGAGUACGUAGGUGGUUUUUUAAGCGGGAGGUUUAAGGCUACGGCUUAACCGUAGUUCGCCUCUCGAACUGGAAGACUUGAGUGCAGGAGAGGAAAGCGGAAUUCCUAGUGUAGCGGUGAAAUGCGUAGAUAUUAGGAGGAACACCGGUGGCGAAGGCGGCUUUCUGGACUGUAACUGACACGGAGGUACGAAAGCGUGGGGAGCAAACAGGAUUAGAUCCCCUGGUAGUCCACGCCGUAAACGAUGAGCACUAGGUGUCGGGUCAAAAGGCUCGGUGCCGAAGUUAACGCAUUAAGUGCUCCGCCUGGGGAGUACGUACGCAAGUAUGAAACUCAAAGGAAUUGACGGGG